Molecule: long non-coding RNA, 4163 nt
Filed under: Ooceraea biroi (clonal raider ant)
Lineage: Eukaryota; Metazoa; Arthropoda; Insecta; Hymenoptera; Formicidae
Description: uncharacterized LOC113563529
Source: RNAcentral
GAUAUUUCUACACACACACACACACACACACACGUGCGCGCGCGUAAAUUUUAUAUAUAAAAUAUUGCAAGUAAACAAUGUAUAGAUAAAUGUGUAAUUAACAUAAGAAACGUAUAAAAAUAGAAAUUUUCAUCGACCAAAUCAAUAAAAUAUUUCUAUAUUUCAUAUUAUAUUUUAUAUUUUAUACUAAAUAAAAUAUGAAAAAAAAUCUCAAUCUCGAAUUUCUACAAUACAUAUAAUGAAAUAGAAGAUAUGAAUUUGCUAUAUUUGAUUGCUGUUAGAUAUGGUCUUAAUAGAUUAUUUCAUAUACAUAUAUACAUGUAUCGCAUUCUAUUUAAAAAAAAUCCUACAGACGCCGGGUAACAAAUACCUAUCUCUGCAAUAAAUACACCGGUGGAUCGAUAAAGUGCAAUGUACACAUACGGUUUAUUAACCUACUUUCCUGAUUCCAUUCUAUCCUUGAAGAGUAUAUCGUCACGUUGCACAACAUGCUUCGAUAUACUUAAACAUUCAAGCCAGAAAAUCCAUAGUUAUGAAACGUGCUUUCUGAUCUCAACAACGGUCUUAAAACAAGAUAUAGCAAGAGCUUCCUUAUUUUGUGAUGCAUCACGAUUUUAAUUAAAAAUCUCCAAUUAUCUUUAAAGCGCGAUAUAAAUUUGUCUUUAAUGAAAUUAAAUUAAACGUAUGAAAGGCAAAUAUCGAAAAUGUAUUAUAAUUUCUAUUGACUAAAAAUAUAAGUGAGUAUUUAUAACUGAUUAGAAUUAUUUUUAAUAUUUAAUAAAAUUUAUUUCGUAACAGUUAUCUUGUAAUACGUAUACUUAAAAGAAGUACAAUAUAUCAUUAUAAUAUUAUAUAUUUUAAUAGAUCAGCAGUAAUUCACAAUUCGCAGAAUUCUUAAGGAUUUAAAAGUACCUCGUAAAGAAGACAUUACAUGUGUAAGCGAUGAAAAUCAAGAAUAUAUCUAACAAAACUUGUCGUCAAGUUUACGCGCAUAAGAUUAUCUUUACAGUAGAGCAGGGAAGUAAAUCCGCUGUUAUAGUUGAACGUACUUUUUGCACAUUUCUACAUUUUUAUUCUUUUUCCUUCCUCUCGCAAGGUAGGAAACGCGCACUACGCCUCUUUUGUUUUAAAUGCAUAAAGUGUAGAAUAUGCGUGUAAUGUGUGCGCGAACGGAGCUUAUACCUCUCUUUGGCGAAUAUCGAAUCAACAUUACACAAAAAGAAUGCACUCUGCAUGUUCCUCGACCGUACAUUUCUUUAAAUGUAUUUAAAUGUAUUCAAGAAACAUUCCAGUAAAGUAAAUUUUUGAUCUUUUAAAGAUAAUGUUUUAAAGAUAAAAGAAAUUUGAGGAUAAAAGAAAAUUAUGAAACUUCCUUCCUACAUCCUACGAGAAGCUAUUAAAAACUAUAGACGUUUUUAACAAGUCUCAUCUUGUUGGAAUUUAUGUAUUAAGCUUAUGAAUCUAUCAGACUGAGCUUUCGUGUAUUUUUACGUACUGAAUUCAGACAGAAUUCCAUAUCUACUUAUAAGAUACCUUUUUUAUAUAACGUAAGAAGGUAAUAUAGUCCUCAAGUACAAUGUUUCAAUGAGGGAACAACAAGAUUGGUCGUUUUGGCAUUAAAACGGUAACCAACUGCCGGCUGCCGACUCGAGCGUAUCGCGAAUCGCGGAUCGCCCCAUCGUACGCAAAAAGUCAUCGACCGAUCUUACAGCCGGCUGGUAUCGUAACAUGCAACCGCCACGAUCGAUCGACUAUAAUGCGACUAUAACGUCGCUCGUGGAGUCGGCAGAGUGACUUCGAAGGGAGCUUUGGCAUUAGAGAGAACAUCGUUUCAUUUUGUACGCUCGAACGCGCCUCGCCGGAAAGAUCGCCUCGUUAUGCGACACGGGCGUCUCGAUCUCGAUCAUGCAUUUCCUCUUUCGCUCUUCGCCGCUACCGAUCAAGAUGCGAUCACGAGGACUUGGCGCUGAAGCGAAUCUCACCUGGACUUAUCGCUCGAAGUUACCGCAUUCGCUCCUCGUCGAAGGAAUAGAAAUGUUUGUUAAUGCGAGAUUCUUGAAUAUGCAAACAUUUGAUAAGUCUAUAUAUGCACCUGGCAUUGAGACGCUACACUGUCUCACUUAAUAUUGCUCAGUCAACACGCGGAAUGUUAGCUGACGAUGACUAGUCAAGGUUCAUUCCGGAGCUAUUAUUCUAUAUGUUCUCGAGCAUAGUCCGAGGAUCAGAAGGCGCAAAUGUUGCGUCCAUGUGAAUGUAAGGCAGGAGCGAUGCAGGAUAACGAGAUCUCGAAUUUACACGCUUAACUUUGUCACGCUUGCUCUACUUAAACAAGAUAUCUGCUCGCCUUAACGCGUUCUAUUGUGCUUUUCACAUGUAACACAUGUGUUCAUUUGCAAGUUCCGGAGGAAGAAAGGGACAAAGACACAAAGGGAGCAAACUUAGGUACGCAAUCACGCUUCGAAGGGACGAAAGUAAAAUGCUCCCUCACAACUCUACCGUAGCCCGCCUACGCUUUCCGCGUUUAGAAGAAAAAAAGAAAACACGUGAUGCGAGGCUCGAAAAAAAAAACAGCAAGAUCGUGACGAAUCUUUCGUAACGAACGAGCCGCAUCAUAGAUAUGCAUCGCAGCUGCACGGAUUCGUAGCUUCCGGCUGCGGGCCAGAUCGGAGCGUGCUAUCGCGCGUAAAAAGUCGUCGACCCAUCGCGAUCGCCACCUUCGAUCACGUCAUCGUCCUCAGCGACGACGUUCCUCGUCACCUCGCGCGCAUGGAACGCGCGCGAGGAAGACGGCUUCGUUCGAUACUCGCGUACGACGAUACGAGGCGUGAGAAAUGUGUACCCACGCGCGCGCUCGGUACGACUUUUCUCGUACGCAGAAAGGCUCGACGCGGCAGAGAGGCUCGGUCCCUUUUUCCGGUCUCCUGAAAACGAAUCCCGCGAAUAUCGGGCUGCUCUUACGGGCACCUCGAGCUACGUGGCUGCGCAACAUCUGGUGGGAUUUCUUUGGUUCCGGGGCCUGCGACGAAAUCCAGCCCUACGCUCCGUCCGGCAGUCUCUCGCAGUCACCCCUCCCUUCUCCCCUGUCCCUCUCUCUCUCUCUCUUUCUCUCAUUCUCAUAUACACGCACACAGCCGACGCGGCUACCACGAGAAGCUGGCGUAAUGUAUUCCCGCACCCACACUACGUCGCCCCCGAGUAUGUACCGUGUAUCGAUCCCGCGAGUACACACGAAGACCGUGAGCGCCAUCAGACUCUCCUCUACUUCCUUCUACUUUCCUCUCUCUUUCUCUUUCUAAAUAUAUAUAUAUAUAUUACUCAGUCAACAUAUAUAUAUAUAUAUUUAUGUUUCAUUUUUUCUCUCUCUCCCUUCCGUCUCUUUCUCUCUCUCCCCCUCUCCCUCUCGAUUUUUUUCUUGCUUAUCUCGAAAAAACGUUGCGACGCUGACUUCCUCGCGUCCGAAAGAAACCGCAGCGCGUUACCUCGCGAACACACCGCUCGACGGUAUCUAUCUGUACGUACGUGAAUGCAUACACAUAUAUAUAUAUCUUUAGGGCGAGUCCGAGACAUGCUCCACCGGCGGUGCCUCGCGUGACAGAAGCUUACUCCUCCCGAUCCUCCCGCCCGCUCCGCGCCCCUCGCGAGACGAGAGAGCCUCGUCACGAGAUCGCGAUCGCCGACUUUCAGCGAGCGGGUCUCGCGCGAGCGGCGCGACGAAAUCACAGCAGCUCUUCUCUUACCUCGAUCUUUUUCAGUGACAAAUCCGUACGCUCGCGUACCGACGUAAAGCACAACCAACAAUGCACAACACGCACUCAACGAGGGCUUGAGCCCGACUGACGAGUGGAAUGAAGUGGGGCGGCGUCGCGGCCAAUGGCGUCCCCGCUUGCGCGCGAUUUCCACGAAGCGCGGAGAGAGACGGAGCGUACUCCAGGCUGCGAUUGCGUUCGUUUUGCCUGCACUCUCUCGCAAGCGGGUGCAUUUGAACAAGAUAGAGGUGUACGUUCGUUCUCUGAAAAGAUAAAGAGAGAAAGAAAAGAAACGAAGUGCAGAAGGUGCAACUCCGGACGGACUUGGUGCACGCAUACAAAGAAGACGUAGAAAAAACUGAUGCUGAGUAAUAAUUACGAGGAAGUGAUGAUAAAUAAAGUGGCACUUACUAUACG